This 464-nucleotide ribosomal RNA is filed under the name uncultured bacterium. Its description in RNAcentral is "partial 16S ribosomal RNA". It matches the Rfam family "Bacterial small subunit ribosomal RNA", at positions 28 to 507 of the family's 1533-position model. The record is from RNAcentral.
GACGAACGCUGGCGGCGUGCUUAACACAUGCAAGUCGAACGGAAAGGCCCUGCUUGCAGGGUACUCGAGUGGCGAACGGGUGAGUAACACGUGAGUGAUCUGCCCUGCACUUCGGGAUAAGCCUGGGAAACUGGGUCUAAUACCGGAUAGGAGCCAUUUUUAGUGUGAUGGUUGGAAAGUUUUUUCGGUGUAGGAUGAGCUCGCGGCCUAUCAGCUUGUUGGUGGGGUAAUGGCCUACCAAGGCGGCGACGGGUAGCCGGCCUGAGAGGGUGGACGGCCACAUUGGGACUGAGAUACGGCCCAGACUCCUACGGGAGGCAGCAGUGGGGAAUAUUGCACAAUGGGCGCAAGCCUGAUGCAGCGACGCCGCGUGGGGGAUGACGGCCUUCGGGUUGUAAACUCCUUUCGCUAGGGACGAAGCUUUUGUGACGGUACCUAGAUAAGAAGCACCGGCUAACUACGUG